RNAcentral lists this ribosomal RNA (476 nucleotides) under uncultured bacterium. RNAcentral's name for it is "bacterial SSU rRNA". It matches the Rfam family "Bacterial small subunit ribosomal RNA", at positions 25 to 518 of the family's 1533-position model. The record is from RNAcentral.
CAGGACGAACGCUGGCGGCGUGCCUAACACAUGCAAGUCGAGCGAGGAGAUCCUUCGGGAUGAUCCUAGCGGCGGACGGGUGAGUAACACGUGGGCAACCUGCCUCAUAGAGAGGAAUAGCCUUCCGAAAGGGAGAUUAAUACCUCAUAACAUUGCAGUUUCGCAUGGAACAGCAAUUAAAGGAGUAAUCCGCUAUGAGAUGGGCCCGCGGCGCAUUAGCUAGUUGGUGAGGUAAUGGCUCACCAAGGCGACGAUGCGUAGCCGACCUGAGAGGGUGAUCGGCCACAUUGGGACUGAGACACGGCCCAGACUCCUACGGGAGGCAGCAGUGGGGAAUAUUGCACAAUGGGGGAAACCCUGAUGCAAGCAACGCCGCGUGAGUGAUGACGGCCUUCGGGUUGUAAAGCUCUGUCUUCAGGGACGAUAAUGACGGUACCUGAGGAGGAAGCCACGGCUAACUACGUGCCAGCAGCCGC